This is a non-coding RNA of Pelobates cultripes (western spadefoot toad), 201 nucleotides long. The record is from the annotation of a GenBank genome assembly. NCBI's taxonomy places the organism in Eukaryota, Metazoa, Chordata, Amphibia, Anura, Pelobatidae.
GUCAAAAUUAUAAUUAUGUGAACAAAAACAAAUCUAUGAUAGAAAGAUUUCUGUGUGGAGAAUUUCUAGGACAAUAAGUAUUGUCAACACCAUGAACAUUAUUUGAAGAAUUAUUUUAGAACUUCAUGGUUGAUAACACAUCCUUUGAAUGAGUCUUAUAAGUAGUGUUGGUAUAUUUUAGGCAGUGAGAGCCUACUGAUG